Molecule: ribosomal RNA, 1161 nt
Filed under: Brevibacterium casei
Lineage: Bacteria; Bacillati; Actinomycetota; Actinomycetes; Micrococcales; Brevibacteriaceae
Description: bacterial SSU rRNA
Rfam family: Bacterial small subunit ribosomal RNA
Source: RNAcentral
ACGUGAGUAACCUGCCCCUGACUUCGGGAUAAGCCCGGGAAACUGGGUCUAAUACCGGAUACGACUGCCGGACGCAUGUCUGGUGGUGGAAAGUUUUUUCGGUUGGGGAUGGGCUCGCGGCCUAUCAGUUUGUUGGUGAGGUAAUGGCUCACCAAGACGACGACGGGUAGCCGGCCUGAGAGGGCGACCGGCCAAACUGGGACUGAGACACGGCCCAGACUUCUACGGGAGGCAGCAGUGGGGAAUAUUGCACAAUGGGCGAAACCCUGAUGCAGCCACGCAGCGUGCGGGAUGACGGGCUUCGGGGUGUAAACCGCUUUCAGCAGGGAAGAAGCGCAAGUGACGGUACCUGCAGAAGAAGUACCGGCUAACUACGUGCCAGCAGCCGCGGUAAUACGUAGGGUACGAGCGUUGUCCGGAAUUAUUGGGCGUAAAGAGCUCGUAGGUGGUUGGUCACGUCUGCUGUGGAAACGCAACGCUUAACGUUGCGCGUGCAGUGGGUACGGGCUGACUAGAGUGCAGUAGGGGAGUCUGGAAUUCCUGGUGUAGCGGUGAAAUGCGCAGAUAUCAGGAGGAACACCGGUGGCGAAGGCGGGACUCUGGGCUGUAACUGACACUGAGGAGCGAAAGCAUGGGGAGCGAACAGGAUUAGAUACCCUGGUAGUCCAUGCCGUAAACGUUGGGCACUAGGUGUGGGGGGCAUUCCACGUUCUCCGCGCCGUAGCUAACGCAUUAAGUGCCCCGCCUGGGGAGUACGGUCGCAAGGCUAAAACUCAAAGGAAUUGACGGGGGCCCGCACAAGCGGCGGAGCAUGCGGAUUAAUUCGAUGCAACGCGAAGAACCUUACCAAGGCUUGACAUACACCGGACCGUCCUGGAAACAGGUCUUCUUCUUUGAAGCUGGUGUACAGGUGGUGCAUGGUUGUCGUCAGCUCGUGUCGUGAGAUGUUGGGUUAAGUCCCGCAACGAGCGCAACCCUCGUUCUAUGUUGCCAGCAUGUGAUGGUGGGAACUCAUAGGAGACUGCCGGGGUCAACUCGGAGGAAGGUGGGGAUGACGUCAAAUCAUCAUGCCCUUUAUGUCUUGGGCUUCACGCAUGCUACAAUGGCUGGUACAGAGAGAGGCGAACCCGUGAGGGCAAGCGAAUCCCUUAAAGCCAGUCU